GUGAUAUCAAUUUUAAAUUCAACUUCACGCUCUGGGGGCAAUCCGGAUAGUUCAUCUGGAAAAAUAUCAAAAAAUUCCUUGACAAUUGGGAUAUCAUCCAGCUUUAUCUUUUCCUUCUCGACGUCUAUUAUAUGGGCCAAAAAUACUUUGCAUCCUUUCCUUAAAGCUUUUCUUGCGUUCAUGAUUGAGAUAAUACCCAAAGAUUGUUUGGAUUCCGUAUUAUGAACUUCGCCUUGAAAGAAGAAUUGCGGUUCAUCCGGAAUUUGAAAUACCACUCUUUUUUCAAAACAAUCAAUAUGUG
Molecule: long non-coding RNA, 301 nt
Filed under: Elaeis guineensis (African oil palm)
Lineage: Eukaryota; Viridiplantae; Streptophyta; Magnoliopsida; Arecales; Arecaceae
Description: long non-coding RNA (EGUI_LNC078806)
Source: RNAcentral